RNAcentral lists this long non-coding RNA (266 nucleotides) under Cyanistes caeruleus (blue tit). RNAcentral describes it as "lncRNA (ENSCCEG00000017544.1)". The record is from RNAcentral. Lineage: Eukaryota; Metazoa; Chordata; Aves; Passeriformes; Paridae.
AGAAGAAGUGUUUGUCAACAGAGCUACAGAAAAUGACUGAACUUUUGCUUGUUUCCUUAUUUAGUUUUUUCCUACUUGUAUUCAACAACAAAUUAUGAAAACAUUUUCCAUGCACGGAAAUGUCUUCCUGGUAGCCUUUCCCCUCUAAUCUGAAGCCUUCAACCACGAUGGUUCUAGUAAGAAGGGAAAGGAAGAUGUGUCACAUUACCUCAUUUUUACUGCAAGAAAAUUGUGAUUGUUACUGCUGCUUACAUGUGGAAAGAUGA